Molecule: long non-coding RNA, 1088 nt
Filed under: Selaginella moellendorffii
Lineage: Eukaryota; Viridiplantae; Streptophyta; Lycopodiopsida; Selaginellales; Selaginellaceae
Description: long non-coding RNA (SMOE_LNC000656)
Source: RNAcentral
GAUCAUGGAGUGUCCUCCACUGCAUAAAAGUGGCAACACAGUGGCCACAUGCCAGUGUUUCUCCUGGAGAAUCUCAUGGCAGUGCCUUCUGAUGAUAGGUCAUCCCUAUCUAUCUGCAGUGCUUCUGAUGCCUCUCGCAGGCCUGCACAAGACUAGGGCUUUUUGUUAAAUUUCCAACAGGGACUUGUUCUUGACGAUAUCGCCAUUCUCGGUUUCUUCCUUGCGAACUUGUUCUUCUCUCUUGGCGACAGUGGCAGCUGCCCCGCGGAUGGGCUCUCAAACGCGGAAAACGAGAAGACUUUUCUCGUUGAGAUCUUCACUUACCAGCGCGGAAUUCUUGUGCAACUUCCUCCAAGCUCUCACCCAAGAUUCUCUGCUUCGUUGCCUCCAAGCUCUGGAAUUGCCACUCCUGCAAGCACCCAACUCGCCGAAUUCCCCUUCAGCACCGCAAAGAUCUAGGGCGAUGGCAGCAGCAGAUGCGGCGGAUGUUAGGGCGGGUAUCAUUGUGCCAGGCAAUGUGAUCGUGUCAAGGUGCUUAGUGUGAGGGAAGUUUUCGCUCUACAACGAGAUUGUUACGCGAGUUCCUCCUGUGCCACUAGAACAGGAAUCCUGGUAUGCCGCAUUAUCUGGACGGGGAUUGAACGGCCACAGUCAGUCAUUCUCUACGAGACAUAGAUCGACGAGAUCGAAUCGCCUGAAGUUACCUUCCAUCUGAUCAACCAACAGAGCUCUCCUGACUGAAUUGGCAACCGAGUUCUUCUUGCUGCCUUGUUGGACGGGCACAACUCCAGAGCCAUGAGGAAACUUCGUCGCACGUACACACGCUAUCUGCCUCCAUGGGACAGGAGACAGUUCGGUUUGCUUGUCGACUUGUGGAAGUUGCGAGCGGACAAGAUGGCCCCUAGAGACGCAAACGAGAUCAAGGAGAAGAUGCAGGCUGCCGACUUAGCAUGCUCUUGGUUGGGUGGCAUCCCAAGUUUUCUGUGGGAUCAUGAGCCUGGAACGCUCACACGUUCAGAUGCAAGGAAGUGCCUGGCCAACACCAAGCUCAGGAAAGUGUCUUGCAUCCUGCAGAGCUCUGCCGACGU